UGCACCCAUAGCUCAAUUGGAUAGAGUACUUGACUACGAAUCAAGCGGUUAGAGGUUCGACUCCUCUUGGGUGCGU
This 76-nucleotide transfer RNA is filed under the name Dolosigranulum pigrum. RNAcentral describes it as "tRNA-Arg(acg)". It matches the Rfam family "tRNA". From Rfam's summary of the family: Transfer RNA (tRNA) molecules are approximately 80 nucleotides in length. Their secondary structure includes four short double-helical elements and three loops (D, anti-codon, and T loops). Lineage: Bacteria; Bacillati; Bacillota; Bacilli; Lactobacillales; Carnobacteriaceae. The record is from RNAcentral. RNAcentral also lists the same sequence under 1 other name.